GAUGAACGCUAGCUACAGGCUUAACACAUGCAAGCCGAGGGGAAACGACAUUGAAGCUUGCUUCGAUGGUCGUCGACCGGCGCACGAGUGAGUAACGCGUAUCCAACCUGCCUCUGACCAAGGGAUAACCCGUCGAAAGUCGGACUAAUACCUUAUGCAGUCGUCGGAAGUCAUCUGAUGACGACGAAAGAUCUCAUCGGUGAGAGAUGGGGAUGCGUCUGAUUAGCUUGUUGGCGGUGUAACGGCCCACCAAGCCUACGAUCAGUAGGGGUUCUGAGAGGAAGGUCCCCCACAUCGGAACUGAGACACGGUCCAAACUCAUACGGGAGGCAGCAGUGAGGAAUAUUGGCCAAUGGGCGGGAGCAUGAACCAGCCAAGUAGCGUGCAGGAUGACGGCCCUAUGGGUUGUAAACUGCUUUUAUGCGGGGAUAAAGUGAGGGACGUGUCCUUCAUUGCAGGUACCGCAUGAAUAAGGACCGGCUAAUUCCGUGCCAGCAGCCGCGGUAAUACGGAAGGUCCAGGGGUUAUCCGGAUUUAUUGAGUUUAAAGGGUGCGUAGGCCCAUCUAUCAGUCAGGAAAGAAAGACGGUCAUCAACCAUCUCAGUGCCCUUGAUAAGGAUGAGCUCGAAUACACUAGAGGUAGUCCGAAUGUCACAAGCAGCGGGGAAAUGCAUAGAUAAGUCGCAGAACACUGAUUGAGAAGGCAGCCUAGUAUGGAGUUAUUUUCGCUUAGGCACGAAAGCGUGGGGCUCAAACAGG
RNAcentral lists this ribosomal RNA (759 nucleotides) under uncultured Lactobacillus sp. RNAcentral's name for it is "bacterial SSU rRNA". It matches the Rfam family "Bacterial small subunit ribosomal RNA", at positions 28 to 776 of the family's 1533-position model. The record is from RNAcentral. Lineage: Bacteria; Bacillati; Bacillota; Bacilli; Lactobacillales; Lactobacillaceae.